GAUAGCCUAGUGGUUAAGGCUACGGAUCGCCAAUCCGGAGACGCCGGGUUCGAUUCCCGAUC
This is a non-coding RNA of Aedes albopictus (Asian tiger mosquito), 62 nucleotides long. The record is from Rfam. Lineage: Eukaryota; Metazoa; Arthropoda; Insecta; Diptera; Culicidae.